UACGGAGGGUGCAAGCGUUAUCCGGAUUUAUUGGGCGUAAAGCGCUCGCAGGUGGUUCGAUGCGUCGUGCGUGAAAUCCCACGGCUCAACCGUGGAACUGCUGGGUAUACUGGUUGUCUUGAGCCAGCUAGGGGCGAGCGGAACAGACGGUGGAGCGGUGAAAUGCGUAGAUAUCGUCUGGAACGCCGAAGGUGAAAACAGCUCGCUGGGGCUGCGCUGACGCUGAGACACGAAAGCCAGGGGAGCGAACGGG
Molecule: ribosomal RNA, 253 nt
Filed under: uncultured bacterium
Lineage: Bacteria
Description: partial 16S ribosomal RNA
Rfam family: Bacterial small subunit ribosomal RNA
Source: RNAcentral